UAGGGAAUCUUCCGCAAUGGACGCAAGUCUGACGGAGCAACGCCGCGUGAGUGAAGAAGGAUUUCGGUUCGUAAAACUCUGUUGUUAGAGAAGAACAGCGCAUAGAGUAACUGUUAUGCGUGUGACGGUAUCUAACCAGAAAGCCACGGCUAACUACGUGCCAGCAGCCGCGGUAAUACGUAGGUGGCAAGCGUUGUCCGGAUUUAUUGGGCGUAAAGCGAGCGCAGGCGGUCAAUUAAGUCUGAUGUGAAAGCCCCCGGCUCAACCGGGGAGGGUCAUUGGAAACUGGUUGACUUGAGUGCAGAAGAGGAGAGUGGAAUUCCAUGUGUAGCGGUGAAAGGCGUAGAUAUAUGGAGGAACACCAGUGGCGAAGGCGACUCUCUGGUCUGUAACUGACGCUGAGGUUCGAAAGCGUGGGUAGCAAACAGG
This 429-nucleotide ribosomal RNA is filed under the name Bacteroidota bacterium. RNAcentral describes it as "Bacteroidetes bacterium partial 16S ribosomal RNA". It matches the Rfam family "Bacterial small subunit ribosomal RNA", at positions 355 to 776 of the family's 1533-position model. Lineage: Bacteria; Pseudomonadati; Bacteroidota. The record is from RNAcentral.